Molecule: ribosomal RNA, 483 nt
Filed under: uncultured bacterium
Lineage: Bacteria
Description: partial 16S ribosomal RNA
Rfam family: Bacterial small subunit ribosomal RNA
Source: RNAcentral
GACGAACGCUGGCGGCGUGCCUAACACAUGCAAGUCGAGCGGGGAUUUAAGUGGAAGUUCUUCGGAAUGGAGAUUUAAAUUCUAGCGGCGGACGGGUGAGUAACGCGUGAACAAUCUGUCCCGGACAGGGGGAUAACACUUGGAAACAGGUGCUAAUACCGCAUAAGACCACGGCCUCGCAUGGGGCUGAGGUAAAAGGAGCAAUCCGGUUCGGGGUGAGUUCGCGUCCGAUUAGCUAGUUGGUGAGGUAACGGCCCACCAAGGCGACGAUAGGUAGCCGGCCGGAGAGGGUACACGGCCACAUUGGAACUGGGAGGCGGUCGAAACUACUACGGGAGGCAGCAGUGGGGAAUAUUGGGGAAUGGGCGAAAGAGUGACGCAGCAACGCCGCGUGAGGGAAGAAGGUUUUCGGAUUGUAAACCUCUGUCCUAUGGGACGAAGGAAGUGACGGUACCAUAGGAGGAAGCCCCGGCUAACUACGUG